Molecule: ribosomal RNA, 484 nt
Filed under: uncultured bacterium
Lineage: Bacteria
Description: partial 16S ribosomal RNA
Rfam family: Bacterial small subunit ribosomal RNA
Source: RNAcentral
AUUGAACGCUGGCGGCAGGCCUAACACAUGCAAGUCGAGCGGAUGAAGGGAGCUUGCUCCUGGAUUCAGCGGCGGACGGGUGAGUAAUGCCUAGGAAUCUGCCUGGUAGUGGGGGAUAACGUCCGGAAACGGGCGCUAAUACCGCAUACGUCCUGAGGGAGAAAGUGGGGGACCUUCGGACCUCACGCUAUCAGAUGAGCCUAGGUCGGAUUAGCUAGUUGGUGGGGUAAAGGCCUACCAAGGCGACGAUCCGUAACUGGUCUGAGAGGAUGAUCAGUCACACUGGAACUGAGACACGGUCCAGACUCCUACAGGAGGCAGCAGUGGGGAAUAUUGGACAAUGGGCGAAAGCCUGAUCCAGCCAUGCCGCGUGUGUGAAGAAGGUCUUCGGAUUGUAAAGCACUUUAAGUUGGGAGGAAGGGCAGUAAGUUAAUACCUUGCUGUUUUGACGUUACCAACAGAAUAAGCACCGGCUAACUUCGUG